GUGAAUCAUCAAAUUUUUGAACGCAUAUUGCACUCUCUGGUAUUCCGGAGAGUAUGCCUGUUUGAGGGUAAUUAAUAACAAUCUGUAACCAAUUUUUUUGGUCAAAGGUUGUGAUUUCUCCGCGUUGAUAGCGGUAGCUUGACAUAAAUGAUCAAGUCUCAUUUUAGUCAAGACGCGUAAUAAUAUUAUUUCUCGAAAUCUUUAUUAUGUGACUAUCAAGUUUUAAGCCAUACAAAUUUUGUUUGUAUGCGAUCAAUACAAAU
This 263-nucleotide unclassified non-coding RNA is filed under the name Ambisporaceae sp. RNAcentral describes it as "partial contains 5.8S ribosomal RNA and internal transcribed spacer 2". The stretch from base 1 to 71 matches the Rfam family "5.8S ribosomal RNA", at positions 84 to 154 of the family's 154-position model. The record is from RNAcentral. Lineage: Eukaryota; Fungi; Glomeromycota; Glomeromycetes; Archaeosporales; Ambisporaceae.